Molecule: ribosomal RNA, 329 nt
Filed under: uncultured eukaryote
Lineage: Eukaryota
Description: partial 18S ribosomal RNA
Rfam family: Eukaryotic small subunit ribosomal RNA
Source: RNAcentral
CCCUUAGAUGUUCUGGGCCGCACGCGCGCUACACUGAUGCACUCAACGAGUCUAAAACCUGCUCUGAUAGGGGUGGGUAAUCUUUUGAAUGUGCAUCGUGAUUGGGAUAGAUGAUUGCAAUUUUUCAUCUUCAACGAGGAAUGCCUAGUAAACGCAAGUCAUCAGCUUGCAUUGAUUACGUCCCUGCCCUUUGUACACACCGCCCGUCGCUCCUACCGAUUGAAUGAUCCGAUGAAUAUCAUGGAUUGAGGAUUAUAGCAGGUUCGCCUGUCUUGAUCUUCGAGAAGUGAAGUAAAUCUUAUCAUUUAGAGGAAGGAGAAGUCGUAACA